UAAACUGGGAUUAGAUACCCCACUAUGCUUAGCCCUAAACUCAGAUAGUUCCUCGAACAAAUCUAUCCGCCAGAGAACUACUAGCAACAGCUUAAAACUCAAAGGACUUGGCGGUGCUUUACAUCCCUCUAGAGGAGCCUGUUCUAUAAUCGAUAAACCCCGAUACACCUCACCACCUCUCGCUAAAUCAGUCUAUAUACCGCCAUCUUCAGCAAACCCUAAAAAGGAAGAAUAGUAAGCACAAACAUCUUAACAUAAAAAAGUUAGGUCAAGGUGUAACCCAUGAGGUGGGAAGCAAUGGGCUACAUUUUCUAUAUCUAGAACAACCCUUUACGAAAGUCCUUAUGAAAUUAAGAACCAAAGGAGGAUUUAGUAGUAAAUUGAGAAUAGAGUGCUCAAUUGAAUAGGGCCAUGAAGCACGCACACACCGCCCGUCACCCU
This 441-nucleotide ribosomal RNA is filed under the name Viverricula indica (small Indian civet). Its description in RNAcentral is "partial 12S ribosomal RNA". It matches the Rfam family "Bacterial small subunit ribosomal RNA", at positions 768 to 1403 of the family's 1533-position model. The record is from RNAcentral. Lineage: Eukaryota; Metazoa; Chordata; Mammalia; Carnivora; Viverridae.